GAGGAAAAGAAACCAACAGGGAUUGCCUCAGUAGCGGCGAGUGAAGCGGCAAAAGCUCAAAUUUGAAAUCUGGCGUCUUUGGCGUCCGAGUUGUAAUUUGAAGAAGGUAUCUUUGGGCCCGGCUCUUGUCUAUGUUCCUUGGAACAGGACGUCACAGAGGGUGAGAAUCCCGUGCGAUGAGAUGACCCGGGUCUGUGUAAAGUUCCUUCGACGAGUCGAGUUGUUUGGGAAUGCAGCUCUAAGUGGGUGGUAAAUUCCAUCUAAAGCUAAAUAUUGGCGAGAGACCGAUAGCGAACAAGUACAGUGAUGGAAAGAUGAAAAGAACUUUGAAAAGAGAGUGAAAAAGUACGUGAAAUUGUUGAAAGGGAAGGGCUUGAGAUCAGACUUGGUAUUUUGCAUGCUGCUCUCUCGGGGGCGGCCGCUGCGGUUUACCGGGCCAGCAUCGGUUUGGAGCGGCAGGAUAAUGGCGGAGGAAUGUGGCACGGCUUCUGCUGUGUGUUAUAGCCUCUGACGAUACUGCCAGCCUAGACCGAGGACUGCGGUUUUUACCUAGGAUGUUGGCAUAAUGAUCUUAAGUCGCCCGUCUUGAA
RNAcentral lists this ribosomal RNA (590 nucleotides) under Candida albicans. Its description in RNAcentral is "LSU rRNA". It matches the Rfam family "Eukaryotic large subunit ribosomal RNA", at positions 53 to 658 of the family's 3401-position model. The record is from RNAcentral. Lineage: Eukaryota; Fungi; Ascomycota; Pichiomycetes; Serinales; Debaryomycetaceae.